RNAcentral lists this ribosomal RNA (800 nucleotides) under Psychrobacter sp. E6FA13. RNAcentral's name for it is "bacterial SSU rRNA". It matches the Rfam family "Bacterial small subunit ribosomal RNA", at positions 72 to 868 of the family's 1533-position model. Lineage: Bacteria; Pseudomonadati; Pseudomonadota; Gammaproteobacteria; Moraxellales; Moraxellaceae. The record is from RNAcentral.
AUGAUAGCUUGCUAUCAGGCGUCGAGCGGCGGACGGGUGAGUAAUACUUAGGAAUCUACCUAGUAGUGGGGGAUAGCACGGGGAAACUCGUAUUAAUACCGCAUACGACCUACGGGAGAAAGGGGGCAGUUUACUGCUCUCGCUAUUAGAUGAGCCUAAGUCGGAUUAGCUAGAUGGUGGGGUAAAGGCCUACCAUGGCGACGAUCUGUAGCUGGUCUGAGAGGAUGAUCAGCCACACCGGGACUGAGACACGGCCCGGACUCCUACGGGAGGCAGCAGUGGGGAAUAUUGGACAAUGGGGGAAACCCUGAUCCAGCCAUGCCGCGUGUGUGAAGAAGGCCUUUUGGUUGUAAAGCACUUUAAGCAGUGAAGAAGACUCCGUGGUUAAUACCCACGGACGAUGACAUUAGCUGCAGAAUAAGCACCGGCUAACUCUGUGCCAGCAGCCGCGGUAAUACAGAGGGUGCAAGCGUUAAUCGGAAUUACUGGGCGUAAAGGGAGCGUAGGUGGCUCGAUAAGUCAGAUGUGAAAUCCCCGGGCUCAACCUGGGAACUGCAUCUGAUACUGUUGAGCUAGAGUAUGUGAGAGGAAGGUAGAAUUCCAGGUGUAGCGGUGAAAUGCGUAGAGAUCUGGAGGAAUACCGAUGGCGAAGGCAGCCUUCUGGCAUAAUACUGACACUGAGGCUCGAAAGCGUGGGUAGCAAACAGGAUUAGAUACCCUGGUAGUCCACGCCGUAAACGAUGUCUACUAGUCGUUGGGUCCCUUGAGGACUUAGUGACGCAGCUAACGCAAUAAGUAGA